RNAcentral lists this ribosomal RNA (497 nucleotides) under uncultured bacterium. Its description in RNAcentral is "partial 16S ribosomal RNA". It matches the Rfam family "Bacterial small subunit ribosomal RNA", at positions 28 to 507 of the family's 1533-position model. The record is from RNAcentral.
GAUGAACGCUGGCGGCGUGCCUAAUACAUGCAAGUCGAGCGAACGGACGAGAAGCUUGCUUUUCUGAUGUAAGCGGCGGACGGGUGAGUAACACGUGGAUAACCUACCUAUAAGACUGGGAUAACUUCGGGAAACCGGAGCUAAUACCGGAUAAUAUUUUGAACCGCAUGGUUCAAAAGUGAAAGACGGUCUUGCUGUCACUUAUAGAUGGAUCCGCGCUGCAUUAGCUAGUUGGUAAGGUAACGGCUUACCAAGGCAACGAUGCAUAGCCGACCUGAGAGGGUGAUCGGCCACACUGGAACUGAGACACGGUCCAGACUCCUACGGGAGGCAGCAGUAGGGAAUCUUCCGCAAUGGGCGAAAGCCUGACGGAGCAACGCCGCGUGAGUGAUGAAGGUCUUCGGAUCGUAAAACUCUGUUAUUAGGGAAGAACAUAUGUGUAAGUAACUGUGCACAUCUUGACGGUACCUAAUCAGAAAGCCACGGCUAACUACGUG